Triticum aestivum (bread wheat) is the source of this 5549-nucleotide long non-coding RNA. RefSeq lists it as uncharacterized. The record is from RefSeq and is a predicted model, not a curated record. The transcript has 3 exons. Lineage: Eukaryota; Viridiplantae; Streptophyta; Magnoliopsida; Poales; Poaceae.
UUCGUGGAUCCAUUGCUGUCGUCGCGGAUCCACCUCUUCCUCCUCCGUUGCUGCCCCUCCGCCCCACCUGCCGGCAUCGACCUCAUCCAGCACGCCUACCUGGUCGGGGCCCCUGACUCGUCGUCCGCCAUCGUCGCCGGGGCAGGGAGUGUCCGCGGCCGCGGCACGGGCCGCGAGGCUUUCCUUCCGCAACCGAUGAGAUGGUAAGAAAAGUUGAUGUGAGCGGUGGAAAUUGAUGUUUCCUUUGGUCUUGCGUUGUUUCCCGCUUGUGUUUUUGUGCUUUUACAGGUCCCUUUGGUGAGGACGUGGAUGGAAGUCCUUCCUCCAGGGAUCGACGUUUUCAGGGCAGAAGGAAGAGCUCUCCUCCUAUCGACGGGCAAGAUGGAUGCACCCAGUAUUUGAUGGAGAACAAUGAUUUCAUGGUGAUUGGGAUAAUCGGUCCACCUGGUCUGGCAAGUCAACCACCGCGAACGAGCAUUAUGGAUACGACACAAGCUCCCCCUUAACUGCAUUCAUAUACUCAUAUGGUUCCAUUGUACUUAAAUUGCGGUUCCCUUUUUACUUAUACUAUGGUUCCUUCUACCUUUUGUCUUGCCAGUAACCAAUAAUUGAUCAAUAUUUUCUGCCGCUCUGGCGUUUUCUUGGUAUCUGUCUAUGAUAUUUUGCUGGUCUUAUCAGAACGGAAUAAUGAUUUUGCCAUGUGGGAGCCCAUGCUUACAGUAAGUUGUCUGGCUAUAAUUUCUAUGUACACACUUCUUUAGGGAAUUAUAAUCAUUUGUUUCUGGUAGUGUAUCUCAUUGGACUUGAUGCAUUAUGUUCUAACAUUAUGAGAAUGGAAUUGUUCCAUUAUAUGGUACUAAUGAAAACGUUUGGCAUUAAUCUGUGUUUAUCUAACUAAAAUAUGGUGACUCCACCCUAUGGCUAAAAGUGAUAUUUGCCAAUAUUGUGGAAAGCUAAAAUGAGUGUUGUACUGUAUUUUUACAUGUUACUUUGCUGAAGUGACAUAGCAGACCCAUCAUUUUAAUCUUCAUUAUCUUCACCGAACAAGGGAAAAUAAAAUUGAUAACCUCAUCAGGCAGUGAAGAUUGCAUGGCCAGUCUCUGUUUUGUGCAUGCUAGGUGAGCAUCAUGAACUGUUAUACUUGCCUUACGAGUAUUUUUCCUUCAAUCAGAUUCUCACUUAUAUUUCUGUGAAUAAAUAAAUCUUUUCAUUUUCUUGUUGGGAAAAAAGUCCCUGUAAUCUUUCCCGCCACAGCCUAAUGUGGGCUGCAUGCCUUAGCAUGUGCCUGAUCCUUACAGAGUUUGAGGGCAGCUACUAGACUUCAUGAUUUGGCAAAUAUAUAUUUAAGGGUGAAUAAGGACAUUUAAUCAUUUCAUAUACCAUGAACAUCAUAAAAAACAGAUUGAGCAUGUGGAGAUAUUUAAGUGUGCAUAUUUGAUACAUUUUCCUUUUGUUGAUCAUUUGCUUCAUGCUUGUUCUGCGGAUUGGAGUUUGUUCUCAAAGAAGGAGACACUGAUCGCUAGCGAAACAUAUGACCAAGAGUCCCCAGGACCUACAUCAUCGACUAAUAACCAGCCUCAAACACCUGCCCAGGUCAGCUAUCUUUCUCAAACCAGUAUUUUUUGGUUUGAUCAUUCGCCAUGUCAUGUGAUUUUGAUUUAAUUGAUAGGUUGUUUAUUCCUUUGAUCAGUAUAAACAGGUUAUAAGUUUUGAGUCUAAGGUAUACCCCUAAUGCCACUUUACAUGCUGUUGAAAACUACAGGCUGCUCCAGCAGUAGUGAGGAUGCCUUGCAGUAUGAUACUUGAUACCAUGCUAACAGAAUUAUGAUUACCAAAGGCUGAAUAACGCCGGGAAAUAUAUGGCGGUAGCAAGGUCUGAGUCAGUCUUUUUAGCACUCCUAUGCUACUUCAUGAUAGUGAAUCUACCCAUGCAUCCAUAUCUGGAGUCCUCUUCAUAUGAUGAUGCAGAAGAGCACAUUGCUGCUAUUGAAGCCAAAGGUGUUUGGAAAACACAGCUAAUAUAGAGAUCUGAGACUACAAUUAAAACCAUAGGAAGCACCUCCAGGACUAGAAUGAGCAGCUCAUGCAGCUACUCAACAUAGUGAAUGUGAGCUGCUCAUUCUGGUUCUAGAGGCGCUUCCUACGGUUAAUCUUGGUAGGGCCGACACACUAUAAAUUAAUUAGCCUUGUCUUCAUUGCAGAAUUGAAAUCAUCUUAAAUUCAAAUUUCAUCUUUUAAUUGACUCUUCCAUAUCUCGAUCAGAAGACCUUGAGUGGGGGUGGAGGCUGGAUUGUGAGCCAGAUGCCCCAUCAACAGGGGCGGUAAAGGAGAAGAAGAUAGUUGUUUAACGGUAUGGUUAUGUGUUUAGGGAAUUAUAAUCAUUUCUUUCUGGUAGUGUAUCUCAUUGGACUUGAUGCAUUAUGUUCCAACAUUUUGAGAAUGGAAUUGUUCCAUUAUAUUCUACUAAUGAAAACGUUUGGCAUUAAUCUAUGUUCAUCUAACUAAAAUAUGGUGACUGCAUCCUAUUGCUGAAGUGACAUACUAGACCCAUCAUUUUAAUCUUCAUUAUCUUUUCCGAACAAGGAAAAAUAAAAUUGACAACCUCAUCAGGCAGUGAAGGCAUGGCCAAUCUCUAUUUGUGAAUGCUAGGUGAGUAUCAUGAACUGUUAUACUUGCCUUAGGAGUAUUUUUCCUUGAAUCAGAUGCUCACUUAUAUUUUUGUGAAUAAAUAGAUCUUUUCAUUUUCUUGUUGGAAAAAAAGUCCCUGUAAUCCUUCCCGUCACAGCCUAACGUGGGCUGCAUACCUUAGCAUGUGCCUGAUCCUUACAGAGUUUGAGGGCAGCUACUGGACUUCAUGAUUUGGCAAAUAUAUAUCUAAGGGUGAAUAAGGACAUUUAAUCAUUUCAUAUACCAUGAACAUCAUAAAAAGCAGAUUGAGCAUGUGAAGAUAUGUAAGCGUACAUAGUUGGAUACAUUUUCCUUUUGUUGAUCAUUUGCUUGAUGCUUGUUCUGCGGAUUGGAGUUUGUUCUCAAAGAAAGAGACACUGAUCGCUGGCGAAACAUAUGACCAAGAGUCCCCAGGACCUACAUCAUCGACUAAUAACCAGACUCAAACACCUGCCCAGGUCAACUAUCUUUCUCAAACCAGUACUUUUUGGUUCGAUCAUUCGCCACAUCAUGUGACAUCGCAUGGGGCAUCAGUAGCAACCCACACACUAACGCAAGGAUGUAAAGAUGGGUACUACCAUUUACAUUCCAGCCAAAAGACCUCACCUCAUUUCUCCAAACUGUGAGUAUUGUUGUCCUGUAAAUUUCUUGGGUGUGCACCAAGCGUUAGAUGAAUUGCCUUCAAGAACCUCAUGGUCAACUGCAUGUGCCCUUUGUGUCUGCAACUGCAUACUUGCUGUCUGAAAUUCAUCACGAGUUAGGCUUUAGGAGAAAAUAUUUCCUUGAGAAUUUUAGAGAUAAAUGACAGAAUUUUGGUGCUACUAAGAAAGGAUAUGUUACUUUUAGAGCUUUGUGUUUGCCUGAUUAUGCGAACUGAUACAUACUACCUAGAAGUUCAACAGUCAAGAUCCAAUGUAAAUGGUAGUAAUUGAGGAUCUCAAAAAUAGGCAUCGCAAAAAUCUGUCAAAAAUGACAACGCUUGGCCAAAAGGCUAAAGAAGAAAACCUGUAGAUUCUUUUGGUUUGCCGAUUCCAAGCUGAGUGAAAAAAAAAUAUUUACACGUUACUGAUUCAUGUACUUCUAGAAGUAAUGUUAGUGGAAAAUUUGCACAACCAUCAUGAUUUGGUACUGUUCACGUGCCCCUUGAAUUCGAUGAGUACACUGGUUGGUUAAAAAAUGAUAACAUUGUUUUCUUCAUAGUGGUUAUGUUUCUCUAUAUUUUCUACUUCAUCUUAAUCCUAGAGUUGUAAGAUUGUACAAAAUAUUCUUCGAUCAUUUUGGGCCAUAAACUUCCCAUCCUGCUAUUCUUUCUAUAGGGCAUGCAAUUCUGUUCGGCCGCUGCUACGAAUCAGCUAGAUCAUCCGCCUGUUCAACCGUCAGAUCCGUGUCCUGGGGCCGUUGGAUCACAACAACGCCACGACAGCAGCGCAUCGCGGCAGCUUCACAACGCCAUUGCUACCCCGCGCGGUUCUUGAACGCAACACCGACGACGUCCUGCGAGCUCCAUUGCAGCCCCGGCGGAGCUCCAUUGCAGCCCCGGCGGAGCUCCAACACAGCGCCGACGCUCCGGCGAAGCUCCAUUGCAACUCUGGACGAGCUCCACUAUAGCCAUGACGUGUCCGGCGAGACUCCAAUGCAGCACCGCCGGCUCCGGUGAAGCUCCAAUGCAACGUAUGAGUGACGCUCAUGGCAGCACCGGUGUCGUGAUGAAGCUCCACAGCAGCCGGAGUUGAGGAGAGAUGCCCCGUCGCAACAGCAGCUCCGCCACCCACCGGUGUGGUGUACUGCAGCUCUGCCGCCCUCCGAGAUCUGCGAGGACGCAACAACACACGCGCUGCAUUGGAAGCAUCCGCCACCGCCGAUGAGAUCCAUCGGUUGCAGCACCCCUCCCGGUAGCACCGGCGGCGUUCCAUCUGACGUGCUUGCAAUGGCAACCGCAGGGCAACACCGGCCGCGCCGGAGCUCAGGUGCUGCUACAGCGGAGCUUGGUGUUGUGCAGCUCUCCUCUGCUUGCAUCAAUGGCGGAGACACCAUGGUUUGCAGCAGGGGGGGUAGCACGCGUGGAGGGGCACAUAUGGCUAGCAUGGGAGGCGUUGGAGAAGAAGGUGAGAUGGAAGAUGGGGUGGUGGAGAGAAAGAGAGCGUUCAAGGGAUUGGGAUUGGGGGAGGAAGACGAAUAGAGGACGAGCGGGGAGCAAGACGAACAGAGGACGAGCGACUUCGGGAGAUAAGGGAAGGAAGUGGUGCGUGGGGCCGGACACGUGUUGUGCGUCCCGAGCGGUUUAAACAGCCAGAAAAUCAGCCAGUUGAAAAAUAACGUUUUGCAUUCUGUUCCCAUUCAGAACUGACAUGCGGCCAUCUUCUCUCUACCGUUACUCAAGGUGCAUGUGGGAAUGCCCUACAGACUGAUGAACAUGAAUCAUAGGAACCACCAAAGCAUGAAGGGAACAACCAGUAUGGAUUGGGAACAACAAGAUGAACUGGCUUUUGUUGGCACUCUUGCAUACAUUGAAGAUUUUGCGGCAUUUGGUUGCAUCUGAACUGACUUCUAUUUGAGCCAUAGAUUGAUGAGUGAUUUGUUGCAUUCUUCACUUGCACAAACUAUGUCUAUUUGAACCAACUUUGUUGUUCAAUGGUCUGAUUAAAUAUAGCUCUGGAAAGGAAUCAUAGCAGGCUUAGGGUAUCAUGGCCACAAAGAAUUAUUGUUAAUGGGAAGCUAUUUUAACUCUGGUCAGGAGCCGACAUUACUGCAAGUGCUUGCGCAGGCACAAGGUCUAUUUAAAUGGGGAUGCUUCUUUGGUCUAAUAGCAUGAGAGAUGAAAGUUUGAAGUGAAUUCUGUAGUAAUGUGUUUUAAAAUGAUACUUGUAAGUUCAAACGAAUGU